GGGUUAUUUAAUAGUUAUUACAUCUCUCAUGGUACUGUCUCCUAGCAACCAGCUAUAUUGUGCUGCUACUUAGUUCUGCUUAUUAUGGCUUGAUUCUGGUACUCCACUACUGUCAACAUUCCUCUUGGCUUCUGCUGCUGCUGCCAUCUGCUGGACAUGACUUUUAUUGCUCCUCACCCUCAAGUGUUACCUACUUUUUUGUGAAACUGUCAGCAUGGUGACCAAGCAUUUUCAGCUCUUUUGUCUUCAGAGGACAGCUAGUCUAAGCUAAUCUAUGCCUGCACAACAGUCAAGCAACCUACCCCCUCUGUUGGUCUCUUCAGGGACUGUACAGUCCUUAUGACAUGCAGUAGCACCUUAGGGGCUGCUACUAAGGAGAAAGAACUCAGAAAGUCAAACAACCUUCCCUUCUGGUUGGUUCCUCUUUAUCUCGAGAGUUCCAGAGAGGUGACUCUCUCUUUCGCGUCAGAGACAUGACUGGUGGCAGUGUGCUGGGCAUCUUGGCGUCUUGGCAUGGGUCAGUAAAUGGGGAAGGAUAGCAGGAAAGGAGAAAAUAUGGACCUCAACAUUUUUUUAAAAGAAUGUUAAAAAUAAAUAAAUAAUACAUUUUUAAUUUUAAUUUUUU
RNAcentral lists this long non-coding RNA (625 nucleotides) under Monodelphis domestica (gray short-tailed opossum). Its description in RNAcentral is "lncRNA (ENSMODG00000033866.2)". Lineage: Eukaryota; Metazoa; Chordata; Mammalia; Didelphimorphia; Didelphidae. The record is from RNAcentral.